AUGAACGCUGGCGGCAUGCCUCACACAUGCAAGUCCAUCGGUAAGGCUCUUCGGAGUACCCGAGAGGCGGACGGCUGAGUAACGCGUAGGAACACACCCUGCAGUGAGGGAUAAGACACCGAAAGGUGUUCUAAUACCGCAUACGGUCUUCGGAUUAAAGCAUUUAUGCGCUGAAGGAGUGGCCUGCGUCAUAUUAGAUAGUUGGUGAGGUAAUGGCUCACCAAGUCGAUGAUGUGUAGCUGGUCUGAGAGGAUGAUCAGCCAGACUGGAACUGAGACACGGUCCAGACUCCUACGGGAGGCAGCAGUGAGGAAUAUUUCACAAUGAGCGAAAGCUUGAUGGAGCAAUGCCGCGUGCAGGAUGAAGGCCCUCGGGUUGUAAACUGCUUUUAUAAGAGAAGAUUAUGACGGUAACUUAUGAAUAAGGGACGGCUAACUACGUG
Molecule: ribosomal RNA, 442 nt
Filed under: uncultured bacterium
Lineage: Bacteria
Description: partial 16S ribosomal RNA
Rfam family: Bacterial small subunit ribosomal RNA
Source: RNAcentral